Molecule: non-coding RNA, 681 nt
Organism: Myodes glareolus (Bank vole)
Lineage: Eukaryota; Metazoa; Chordata; Mammalia; Rodentia; Cricetidae
Source: RefSeq, a predicted model, not a curated record
UAAGUCACUUAUCAGUCUGUGUUGGGUGGGUGGUGCCUGACAGAUGGUGCAAUUUCUGGGUCCACCCAGUGCGCGCAGUCUUCUUUCUUCCUCAGAAUGGAGUCGAAAUCUGCUUGUAAAAUGGUGUCUCCUAUAGCAACGCCUAGCCUGCAAAAAAAAACCACUGUUUUAUUCAAUACUGGAGUCGCUUAUAAUAGGGCAUAGUCUGAUCUUAACACAGUACGUUUAAUUGAACCAGGCUACUUACAAGAGAGUGAGGGCUGGCUAAUCUUGGCUGUCAACCUGACUACAGCUGGAAGCGCCUACAACCCAAGCAGGUGAGCACAUCAGUGAGAAAUUCUCUUGACUGGAUCAUUUGAGAUAGGAAGACCUGGGCUAAAUCUGGGCCGUGCCUUCUGGUGGCAGCCCAUAUACAAGGAUUUGGAAGAAAGAAGCUUUUGGCUUCUUGCCUGCUUGCCCUCACUUUCACUGGCAAGUUCAUCUGUCCUGUUGCUGAGUCAUUCCUUCUCUGGUGUUAGAACCUACUUUCUUUGAGAUUCCAACAUAAACUGAAGACCAGCCAAGAUAUCAGCCUUGCCGAGUGAACACCUACCGGAUUCUUGGUCUUUCGUUUGAGAGAUGCCAUUGCACUAGCCUGAGCACAGCCUGUAAGCCACUCUAAUAAAUCCCUUUUGAUAUAUA